This 402-nucleotide ribosomal RNA is filed under the name uncultured bacterium. RNAcentral describes it as "bacterial SSU rRNA". It matches the Rfam family "Bacterial small subunit ribosomal RNA", at positions 975 to 1375 of the family's 1533-position model. The record is from RNAcentral.
CUGGGUUUGACAUACACCCUGCCGCUCCAGAGAUGGGGCUUCUUUUGGGGGUGUACAGGUGGUGCAUGGCUGUCGUCAGCUCGUGUCGUGAGAUGUUGGGUUAAGUCCCGCAACGAGCGCAACCCUCGUCCUAUGUUGCCAGCACGCCUUCGGGUGGUGGGGACUCAUAGGAGACUGCCGGGGUCAACUCGGAGGAAGGUGGGGAUGACGUCAAGUCAUCAUGCCCCUUAUGUCCAGGGCUUCACGCAUGCUACAAUGGCCGGUACAAAGGGCUGCGAUCCCGUGAGGGGGAGCGAAUCCCAAAAAGCCGGUCUCAGUUCGGAUUGGGGUCUGCAACUCGACCCCAUGAAGUCGGAAUCGCUAGUAAUCGCAGAUCAGCAACGCUGCGGUGAAUACGUUCCC